RNAcentral lists this ribosomal RNA (292 nucleotides) under uncultured bacterium. Its description in RNAcentral is "partial 16S ribosomal RNA". It matches the Rfam family "Bacterial small subunit ribosomal RNA", at positions 505 to 796 of the family's 1533-position model. The record is from RNAcentral.
GUGUCAGCAGCCGCGGUAAUACGUAGGGGGCAAGCGUUGUCCGGAUUUAUUGGGCGUAAAGAGCGUGUAGGCGGCCUAGUAGGUCAGCUGUGAAAACUCGAGGCUCAACCUCGAGCUGUCGGUUGAAACCACUAGGCUAGAGUCCGGAAGAGGAGAAUGGAAUUCCCGGUGUAGCGGUGAAAUGCGCAGAUAUCGGGAAGAACACCCGUGGCGAAGGCGGUUCUCUGGGACGGUACUGACGCUGAGACGCGAAAGCGUGGGGAGCGAACAGGAUUAGAUACCCUGGUAGUCC